UACAGAGGGUGCGAGCGUUGUCCGGAAUCACUGGGCGUAAAGGGCGCGUAGGUGGCGGGCCAAGUCUGUGGUGAAAGCUCGAUGCUCAACAUCGAGUCGGCCACGGAUACUGGUUCGCUGGAGCACUGUAGAGGCAGAUGGAAUUCCGGGUGUAGCGGUGAAAUGCGCAGAUAUCAGGAGGAACACCAAUGGCGAAGGCAGCUCGCUGGAACGGUACUGACGCUAAGGCGCGAAAGCGUGGGGAGCGAACAGG
Molecule: ribosomal RNA, 253 nt
Filed under: uncultured bacterium
Lineage: Bacteria
Description: partial 16S ribosomal RNA
Rfam family: Bacterial small subunit ribosomal RNA
Source: RNAcentral